UUAAUUCUAGGUUUAAUUCAGACACAGACGAUAUAUUGCAUAAAUACGACGCCAUAGCGCCGAAGCACGGCUUUAUUCCACGGGUUUUGAGGUCGAAGGCCACAGGUGGCCAUUCAUUAAUGAUCCCUCCGCAGGUUCACCUACGGAGA
RNAcentral lists this unclassified non-coding RNA (149 nucleotides) under uncultured fungus. Its description in RNAcentral is "sequence contains ITS1". The record is from RNAcentral. Lineage: Eukaryota; Fungi.